UUCGUCCGACAAUGCAACUUUUUUGUCCAUUCUCUAGUUUUUUUUCAAUUCAUUCUCUAGUUUUUAACAAUGUAUUACGUAACUUUGUGUUUUUGAUUAAAAAUGUAUUACGUAACUUUUGAAACAACAAAAACAAACUUUUGUUUUGUAUGAUUAAGUCCUAUAUAUACGCAUAUAUAUAUAACUAUUACCAAAAAAAACUUUUAUGUAAGUUGAAAUUAUUUGAGAAAUCCAAUUAUUUUUUAUAUGUAUUCAAAAGUUCUACUAGAAAUGCUAUGAUCUCAGAUUGCCACUUUAAUUUAUUUAAGAUUGCAGUGGUGGUUAGGAUUAGAUGAUUUCUUGCCAUUCGUAGAAUUAUUUGUCCUGAAAACUCUCUCAAGGAAAGAAAUCUUUAAUUGAAAACUAAUUUGGAUCAAAAUGCUUGAAUUGAACCGCAAACGAAGCCGGUUUAAUUUGAUGUACCGGUUCAUCUGCCCGACUAAGCAAACACAUUGAACCGAUGAGUUGUUGAACAAAAAAGCUCCAGAUCCAUUGACUAAUCAAAUCAUUAUAGGUUGCCAAUGGCUCGAAACACUCGCGAUCUAGGUCCCGUCUCACCGCCGACAUUAAUCUCGCUCACCGCUCACUCACAGCCAUCGUACUAGGGAGACCGCAGCCGAUAACCAUAUUCAUCAAGUUAUCAAAUGGAAACAGUUAGCGUUCCAAGUUGCACUUAAGAAUCAAAGCCUAAUCUCUUCUUGGGUUUAUAAUUUUCACUGUUUUUCAGAUUUUGAUUUAGAUUACACUUAUUUUGGGCUUAUUCCUCCCGUAAACUUAUCUUGGACUUUAGGUGCGUAAAAAGGCUUUAAUUUGUGUUCAAUGAUUUUGACAGCCUUUGCAUGAGCCAUCAGCUUUUUCCCUUACGUAGUAGCAUCAUCUCAUGAAAGCCUUGACAGAGAAAACGUAUAUACAUGUGUACAAAUUACAAAACCAUUCUUUUAAUUUUUGAUAUUAACCAAUUAAAAUCUUUAAAACGGAUAGAGGUACAUAUAACAUGCGACUUAUUUCCAACCUUAGAACAUCCCCAUUGUAUUGCAUGUAUCUAUAUUUUUCUCUAAAAUAGAAAUCUCUAUUAUAGUGGUAGACCUCUAUAAUAGAAUUCUUUUAUUUUAGAAAAAAAUAUAAAUAAAAUUAUUUUUUAUUUUAUAUUUAGAGGUGAAAAUAAUAUAUUUCUAUAUUUUUCUCUGUAAAUAGAAAAAUUCUAUUAUAGAGGCAUAUAUUGGAGUAAAUCCACGUCUAUAUAAUAGAAUUUCUCUAUUUUAGAAAAAAAUAUAAACAUGAAAGUAGAGAUGGGUUGGAAAUACUUUUACACUAUAUAAAAGAAAAAAAAUCGGUUUUACACAAAUUUUAAUAAUCAAAAACAGAUUUUGUUGUUGGUUAAGUAGUAAGAAAACGGAAAAAAUAUUAAAUUUUGAGAUUGUAUAUAUAUGUGUAAACUGAUAUGUUUUAAUCGAUUAGAAAAACUGUCUUCCGUUUAGUAUGAAUACCAGUGAGAAAGAAAAAGAACAAAGCAGUAAAGAUGCACGUAGAUGACUGACAAUAUAUUGAAAUCAAUCCAUGCACAUAAUAAUAAGAGUGCAUGUGCAUGCGAAGAUCAUUAUUGUAUCUGGGGAAGUUCCACUCUAUGGAAUCAUCGCAAAGCAGCCGCAAUGUUUGAAUUUAUUGAAGCCGAAAGCAUGCUUAAAGUCUUCGUGUGUCAUAGAUACCCGAAGACUGUUGAAAAUAGCUAUAGAUCGAUAAAGAUAUAUAGAUCCGGAACUUCAUCAUAUCCCUUUCAACUUCUCUCGUGUUAUCAUUUUAUGGAUGAUUAUAACUGGGUCAUAGGAUCUCGAAGAUAGCCCUCUCAAAAUAACACCACUUGACGUAACCAAGUGGGAUGGGACCCAUUUCCUUCUGCCUUUCCGCAUGCGUAACUCUCAAGAAGCUCUUCACUUAUCGUUCUACAUCAUCGCAUCUAAUCUCAAUAUCUCAUACAUCAAUUAUCUAGGAGUAAGAUACCGGGAAUAUAUCUAUGUAUUUACUCAAUUUAUAAAAGUUUCACUUUUUUUGUAUAUCCAGUACCUUUCAGAUGAACAUGUGUGGAUAUUAUAAUGUAAGUGUUAUGGUGUAUUAAUAUAUUUGAUUAAAUGAAUAGUAUAACUGGUGAGGAAUGUAUGCUGAAAAGUGCUGAGACGAUCAGAAGAAAGACCAAUCAAAUACAAUAAUGAGAGUUGCACGGUGUUCAAACUACUAUCUUUGGUGGGCCAAGCUCGAUGUACAUCUCGAGACCAAGUUUGCUUGUCUUACUCUCACAUGUGCCAAUAAUCCAAAUAAACGUCAUUUCGUGAAAAGAGUAUAAAUGAUAAAAAAUUAAAACUAGUGGGACGACUCACAUAUAGAUGCAUGUAUUUACAUAAAUGCGUUCUAAAGAAGACACAUGAAUAUGUGGAAAGAUAAGUCUCACUAUAUUCUACACACUUUUUGGUUUUGGGAAUAUAUUCACAGUUGAACACGUUUUUUGUUUUUUAAAUGAUUAGCGAUUGCGAUAUUCCUACUGUGAUCGUUUGUGAUUGUUUAAUCACACUUAAACAAGAAAAAAAAUGUUUGACCCUAUUUACUCAAUGCUUACCUAUCUUUUUUUCUUAUAAGACUCUUUAGAAUGAAUGAAUCAAAUUCUCGAAUAGUUUCCACGCUUUUUUUUGUCAUCUAUCCAUCUAAUCUAGAUCAAGUGGAGAACAUACAAACUGAUUCUCCUAAGAACAUUUUCAUCUGUCCGGAUCUGAUAUAUAUAAGAAAAAAGGUAGCCUCUGAUCUUUGCAUCCUUUGCUAACGUAUAUACCCUACCAUUCCGACUCCAAGGAAUAUGAGACAGACUCACAUCCUCAAAGUCUUCCUGUAGCUUCUAGAAAACUUCGAUCUCUGCCGCGAAUGCUGGCAAUCCAUCGGUUUUUUGUCAUAUCCACUAAGUCCGAACAGUCGUCUCGAACCGUACCGAGGUUAUCCUUCUGUUUCUCAUACAAGAGGAUGUCUAAAGUAAACUUUCCAUUUCAAUAUACAAAGCUGAGAGGCUCCUGUAAUACGUCAUUGGUCUGAAGUAUUCUGAGUCCAUUUGAUCCUUAAGACUCCAUCCUAAACCACUGACGUUGCCAUAACUGAUCCAUGAUGCAUCAAUUUGACAGGUAGGGAUUCAGGCAUCCAAAGAGGCACUGUACUUCUCCUAUUUUUUAUAAACCUGAAAUAUACUAUACAUUUUUUAUUUUUUAUAAUAUAUUAUUUUUUUGUCUCAAUACAUAUAAAUUAAUAAAUUAUUUUUAAACGUAUCACUAGAAUAAAAUUUAAAAUAAUAGGUUUUCUAAAGGUUAAAUUAACAAGAUGAUUAAAAAUAUCUUAUAUUGUAUAAUAGAAAAAAAUAUUUUUCUUAAAACAUUUUUUUCUAUUAAAACAGAAGAAAUCUUAUAUAUUAUAACAAAAGUCAUAACCUUAAUUAAUGUGUGAUUUUUAAAAAAAAAAUGGAUCUAGUGGACAUAUUCCUAAAUACGCAUAUUAUAUUUAAUUUAUAAUCUUAUCAUUUAAAUUUUGGGUAUAUCAGAAAUUUUUAUUGGGCUAUGAAUAAUUAAGAUUUAUGAUUCUAGAUAUUUAAGAUUACCUUGUUAAAACUUUUAGGUUAAACCUAUUAGUUUAAAAAAAAUAUGCUAGAACCAAACUCUUUUCUUUGUUCAAAAAAAAAACUAACUCUUUUUUUUUGCAACUGAAAAAAAACUCUUUUCUUGAUCGAUCAAGUAAAGAGAGACCACUAAAUACUUAACCUUAAUGUCUCGGUUUCUCAGCUAAGUUAUACGUUCGUGGUCUAAACGCCAGGUCUAAUUACCUCUAGAUUAGCAAUCCACCCUAGGACAAAACUAAUUCCUUCGAACACCAUUAUAUAAAAAUACACUAUCAGUUCUCAUGCAUACUUGUUUUCUUUUAGAGGUUUAUUUACAUAUUUGGUUCUUAUUCUAAUGACAUAGACUUAUAUAAUAUUAAUAUAACUAUAGAUCUAACUAUAUAUCGUUUUUUUCUGAGAUUAUCGUCUUUAACUGGUCAUCUAAAAAUAUGUCCAUAAAAUAAAAUAUAUUUUGAACAUUGUAUAUGCCUUCUCCGAAUUUAAAUUCUAGGAAUUACAUGUGUCAAAACAGUGAACUUCAACAAAUCCAAAUCUUACUAACAAUUAA
Brassica rapa (field mustard) is the source of this 4229-nucleotide long non-coding RNA. RefSeq lists it as uncharacterized. NCBI's taxonomy places the organism in Eukaryota, Viridiplantae, Streptophyta, Magnoliopsida, Brassicales, Brassicaceae. The record is from RefSeq and is a predicted model, not a curated record.